This 462-nucleotide ribosomal RNA is filed under the name Cladosporium tenuissimum. RNAcentral's name for it is "eukaryotic LSU rRNA". The stretch from base 115 to 268 matches the Rfam family "5.8S ribosomal RNA". The record is from RNAcentral. Lineage: Eukaryota; Fungi; Ascomycota; Dothideomycetes; Cladosporiales; Cladosporiaceae.
GUUGUCCGACUCUGUUGCCUCCGGGGCGACCCUGCCUUCGGGCGGGGGCUCCGGGUGGACACUUCAAACUCUUGCGUAACUUUGCAGUCUGAGUAAACUUAAUUAAUAAAUUAAAACUUUUAACAACGGAUCUCUUGGUUCUGGCAUCGAUGAAGAACGCAGCGAAAUGCGAUAAGUAAUGUGAAUUGCAGAAUUCAGUGAAUCAUCGAAUCUUUGAACGCACAUUGCGCCCCCUGGUAUUCCGGGGGGCAUGCCUGUUCGAGCGUCAUUUCACCACUCAAGCCUCGCUUGGUAUUGGGCAUCGCGGUCCGCCGCGUGCCUCAAAUCGACCGGCUGGGUCUUCUGUCCCCUAAGCGUUGUGGAAACUAUUCGCUAAAGGGUGUUCGGGAGGCUACGCCGUAAAACAACCCCAUUUCUAAGGUUGACCUCGGAUCAGGUAGGGAUACCCGCUGAACUUAAGCA